AUGCACACACACGGAGCCCCCCGCUACCCCGCGCCCGGGGGCAGAUGCGAGAGACACGGCGUGGAGGCAGAGGCUCGAGCGCGGGGGGACCCGACACGAAGGCAGACCCGGGGGAGGGACAGAAAGGAAGGGACGGGGGCAGGGGGCGGACGGGGGCGCGGGGACAGGCGGCCGGACAAAAAGGAGGCAGGAGCCGCGGCUCGCGGGCGGGGCGGGGGGAGCGGGGGAGAGGGGGAGCCGGGGGAGCCGGGGGAGCCGGGGGAGCGGGGAGCCGGGGGAGCCGGGGGAGCGGGGAGCCGGGGGAGCGCGCCCCGCGGCCGAGCUCCGAGCGCUGCCCCCGCGCCCCGGCCCGCCCUGCGCUCGGUGCCCCGGGGCCGCCGGAGCGUCCGGGAGCCGGUCCGGCCGGGACUUACCGCGCGCGGGGCGCCGCCGGGUCCUGCGGAGCUGGGUGCGGGGCGCGCGGGGGCGCGCGGGGCGCACGGGGCGCGGGGCGCGGGGCGCGGGGGGCGGCGCCCCCGGGGGCUCGGGCGGCGGCCGGCGGCGCUGGGGCGGCCCCGCGAGGCUGGGCUGGCUGCGCUGCGCUGUCUGCGGCCCCGGGCGGGCGCGCGGUGCGGGGGAGCGGCGAGCCGAGCGGCUCCGACGUCAGGGGUGUCUCCGCUCCAAAUAGGGAGCGAGGGCGGGGGCAGCGGAGGGAGGGCCGCGCCGGAGAAAGGGCGGGCGCACGGCCGCUCCCUCCGGGCCGCGGGAGGGGGCGCCCCGGCCCCGGCCCCGGCCCCGGCCCCGGCCCCGGCCCCGCCCGACGGCGCGCCCGAGCCCCGCGGAGCCCCCGCCGGCCUCCCAGCGCCGGGCCCCGGUGACAAAGGCGGGGGCGGCCCCUCCGCGCGGCCCCGCGGCGCUCCCAGCCUGCCCGCCCUCGGGCGCGACCCGGGUCCCCGCGGGGCCCGGCCGCCGGGACGCCGCCGCCCCUCGCCCUCCGCCCGGCCUCCCCCCGCCCCGGCGCCGGUCCCAGCGUCCAAGCGUCCGGAGAAGCGCGCGCGAGCCCCGGAAGGACUCUGGACCCCGACUCCCUCGUCCCGGCCCCCGGGGAGGGCGGAGCGCAGGCCCCCGCGGCCCAGCUGCUCGGGCGCGCUCGAGGGUGGCCCUUGUGCCCCCUCGGCUCCGGGUGCUCUCGGGGGAAGGAGGACACGGCUCCGCUCCUGCAGAGGAGGAGCCCCGGACACAGUCGUGGGACCUGGAGAUUUUGCCCUCAGAGCUGUGCACGGCCCUGGAUUUCACCCCGGCCUGCCUGGAAGCUCCCGCCCGGGGACCUAUGUCACAGGUGGCUGA
RNAcentral lists this long non-coding RNA (1326 nucleotides) under Canis lupus dingo (dingo). RNAcentral describes it as "lncRNA (ENSCAFG00020008259.1)". Lineage: Eukaryota; Metazoa; Chordata; Mammalia; Carnivora; Canidae. The record is from RNAcentral.